This 665-nucleotide ribosomal RNA is filed under the name Oenococcus oeni. RNAcentral describes it as "bacterial SSU rRNA". It matches the Rfam family "Bacterial small subunit ribosomal RNA", at positions 245 to 900 of the family's 1533-position model. The record is from RNAcentral. Lineage: Bacteria; Bacillati; Bacillota; Bacilli; Lactobacillales; Lactobacillaceae.
CUUGUUGGUAGGGUAGAAGCCUACCAAGGCAAUGAUGCGUAGCCGAGUUGAGAGACUGGCCGGCCACAUUGGGACUGAGACACUGCCCAAACUCCUACGGGAGGCUGCAGUAGGGAAUUUUCCGCAAUGCACGAAAGUGUGACGGAGCGACGCCGCGUGUGUGAUGAAGGCUUUCGGGUCGUAAAGCACUGUUGUAAGGGAAGAAUAACUGAAUUCAGAGAAAGUUUUCAGCUUGACGGUACCUUACCAGAAAGGGAUGGCUAAAUACGUGCCAGCAGCCGCGGUAAUACGUAUGUCCCGAGCGUUAUCCGGAUUUAUUGGGCGUAAAGCGAGCGCAGACGGUUUAUUAAGUCUGAUGUGAAAUCCCGAGGCCCAACCUCGGAACUGCAUUGGAAACUGAUUUACUUGAGUGCGAUAGAGGCAAGUGGAACUCCAUGUGUAGCGGUGAAAUGCGUAGAUAUGUGGAAGAACACCAGUGGCGAAAGCGGCUUGCUAGAUCGUAACUGACGUUGAGGCUCGAAAGUAUGGGUAGCAAACGGGAUUAGAUACCCCGGUAGUCCAUACCGUAAACGAUGGGUGCUAGUUGUUAAGAGGUUUCCGCCUCCUAGUGACGUAGCAAACGCAUUAAGCACCCCGCCUGAGGAGUACGGCCGCAAGGCUAAAAC